AUGGGAAUCAAGAGCUCAAACCACAACAUGCUCAAACCCACCCUCAGAAAGGUGCUUUCACCUCCACUUUCACGGUCCCUGGGUGGCACAAGGAAAGGAUACGGAAGACGUCAAACCCAGAGUUCCCACCUGAACACCACAAAUGACUUUUACCCUGGGAUUCAGAAAUGUCUACAGGACAGAGACUGGAUCAGCUAAAGAAUGACAGCCGGAUGUCUCAAAACAUGGGGUAGAAACAUAAGAGACUCAGACAACUUCCCCAAGCAACACACGCUAAAAAGAAGGAAAAGGCCCAUGCCACUUUGUAACAGGACUACAUCUGUGAAACCGUUCUGGCAGGUCUAAGUAAUAGCUAGAAAGACC
Molecule: long non-coding RNA, 363 nt
Filed under: Bos indicus x Bos taurus (hybrid cattle)
Lineage: Eukaryota; Metazoa; Chordata; Mammalia; Artiodactyla; Bovidae
Description: lncRNA (ENSBIXG00005002905.1)
Source: RNAcentral